Molecule: long non-coding RNA, 799 nt
Filed under: Marmota monax (woodchuck)
Lineage: Eukaryota; Metazoa; Chordata; Mammalia; Rodentia; Sciuridae
Source: RNAcentral
UUUCAAUGGAAAGAACAUCUGUCCUGUCCCCGUGAUAAUAUCUACCCUGAGCCCCUGCCACAUGCCAGGCACUGUUCUAAGUGCAGAGGAUUUGGGUUGCAGUGUCCUGCCAUCUUGGAAGUUGCAGGUUAGUGGAGAAACCAGCAGCAGUGACGUAAGCAGCACACAAUGUAUGCAGUUAAAACCAUGGUAGGUGCUAAGGGUGUAGAGUCAAGAGUACCCAAAAUGCAACAGGAAGAACUCAGCUCAGUUGGAGGUGAUCUAGAACUCCUUGAAAGAUUGAAGGUUUUGGUGCUACCUAAUGGAUAAAUAUAAAUCUAGGUGAAAAUGGGGCAGACAGGUCCAGUAUAGUACAUGUAUGAAGACUGGGGUCACCCAGCAGGUCCCAGCCAGGAAAGGGAGGUGCAUCUGCCUGGAUUCCUGCCUUUGUGGGUAAGGAAGGCUCUAGCACCAGCAGGCCACGGCCAGGCCCUCUGCUUCUCCUUGCAUCUGUGGUGUGUUCCACCUUCUCAAGCUGGCUCCUAGUGUCCAGUCCCCAAGAGAACUCUGCACAGUGCAAGCCUGGCCUCCCACAGCCAGUCUGCCUGCAAGUCUCAGUUUACACUUCAGGGUGCUGAUGGGGAAGGAGGAACAGGAUUCCUCAGCCCUGCAUUCCUGGCCAUCUGCCCCCUACUACUUCAGAUAAGGUGUUAAUGUCCCUGAACAGGAAAGAAGAGCCAGAGGCCAGUGCUUGGGAAGGUGAGUAGGGAGCAAAGAAAUGCAAGGAGCAUCUGACAUUAUCUUAUCAACGUUGAAAAGA